This 372-nucleotide ribosomal RNA is filed under the name uncultured organism. Its description in RNAcentral is "bacterial SSU rRNA". It matches the Rfam family "Bacterial small subunit ribosomal RNA", at positions 526 to 896 of the family's 1533-position model. The record is from RNAcentral.
CGUAGGGGGCGAGCGUUGUCCGGAUUUAUUGGGCGUAAAGGGCGUGUAGGCGGCCGCGCAAGGGUGGGGUGAAAUCUCCCGGCUCAACCGGGAGGGGUCCCUGCCGACUGCGCGGCUGGAGGCUGGUAGGGGCGCGCGGAAUUCCCGGUGUAGUGGUGAAAUGCGUAGAGAUCGGGAGGAACACCGGUGGCGAAGGCGGCGCGCUGGGCCAAGCCUGACGCUGAGGCGCGAAAGCGUGGGGAGCGAACUGGAUUAGAUACCCAGGUAGUCCACGCGGUAAACGAUGGACGCUAGGUGUGGGGGGUAUCGACCCCCUCCGUGCCGAAGCCAACGCAUUAAGCGUCCCGCCUGGGGAGUACGGCCGCAAGGCUA